CAAGCCCUGUGUGUUUUUCAGGCAGCUUGGCAUUUGGUAAGUAUGCUUUAGAACUUGAAAGGUCAACAAGAUCCACACUACAGCUGUGGCACCUUGUUAUGUGUUUAGAAAACUAAUUAGUAACACAAGUACUAUGGGGGAAUGCUCUUCUGUCCCCUCAUAGCUUAAUCUCUUGUCCUCUGAGACACUCAGGAGAAAAUAUAGAUGGCUCUUGAAAGAGCAGCACUAUGAGGUCACAGCAUCAGAGAAUCAUAGGGAUUGGAAGGGACCUCUGGAGAUCAUCACCCAUUGACCAGCAUUAAGGCAAUGCUGCAAGACCUCAGUGUUUUGGGGGAAAUUUUGAGCUACAGGAAAAGAAAGAAAAAAAGAAAACCAAACCAACCAAAACUGUUUCAAAGGAAAAACAGCAAAUAAAGAAAAAUAACUGUGGUUUAUCCUGCAGACCUAAAGCUGCUAAUGCAGCUCUGCAGAGACAUGCUGGACCCUCUUUGAACCUUGGAGCUGGCACACCCUCAGGAGCUAUUCAAAGAGUAUUAGCUCCAGCUGCUCUGGUUGGGGUCAGGAUGGAUUUCCAGCCUGCUGCCUGUGUGAAGAUAUACUAGAAAUGACAUGAAAGUGAGCUUCUGACUUGAUGAUCCUUCUAAUAACAACACUGCAGAGAGCCAUGAUUACUGUCUCACACCAGAGCUCAGAUCAAACGCGAUCAAUUUUCAAGUGAAAAAGAUGGUUUUCCUGACCAUGCUGCUAACGACACUGUGUCCCAUGUCCAUCAUUUAAAAACAUCUUAGAAUAUGGCACAGAUGUUCCCAUCCUCAAAGCUUUGCACCAGCAUCAUGCUGGCUGCAGGAGCAAUCCUGUGAGCAGGAGGGUUUCUACAUGAGCUGGGUGUCCAGGCGUGAAGCAUAGCAGCAAAGCUCCUGCACACCCUCUGUGCCCAAUAGCUCCCUGCUCUUCGCUUCAACCCACCCAGUUUGUUUCACUGCUUGUUGUUCUCUCCGGAGAAUUCUGUUGCUUGAUGAAAAUAUUUUCUUCCUUUCCAAAUGACUGCGCUCCCUGGCAAU
This 1061-nucleotide long non-coding RNA is filed under the name Numida meleagris (helmeted guineafowl). RNAcentral's name for it is "lncRNA (ENSNMEG00000021479.1)". Lineage: Eukaryota; Metazoa; Chordata; Aves; Galliformes; Numididae. The record is from RNAcentral.